Molecule: ribosomal RNA, 503 nt
Filed under: uncultured bacterium
Lineage: Bacteria
Description: partial 16S ribosomal RNA
Rfam family: Bacterial small subunit ribosomal RNA
Source: RNAcentral
GAUGAACGCUAGCGACAGGCCUAACACAUGCAAGUCGAGGGGUAGCAGGAUGUAGCAAUACAUCGCUGACGACCGGCGCACGGGUGAGUAACGCGUAUGCAACCUACCUUCUACAGGGGGAUAGCCCGGAGAAAGCCGGAUUAAUACCCCAUAAAACAGGGACGCCGCAUGGAGAUAUUUGUUAAAGAUUAAUCGGUAGAAGAUGGGCAUGCGUUCCAUUAGCCAGUUGGUGAGGUAACGGCUCACCAAAGCAACGAUGGAUAGGGGAACUGAGAGGUUUAUCCCCCACACUGGAACUGAGACACGGACCAGACUCCUACGGGAGGCAGCAGUGAGGAAUAUUAGUCAAUGGGCGCGAGCCUGAACCAGCCAAGUCGCGUGAAGGAAGACUGCCUUAUGGAUUGUAAACUUCUUUUAUAUGAGAAUAAAAAGAGUUACGUGUAACUUAUUGCAGGUAUCAUAUGAAUAAGCAUCGGCUAACUCCGUGCCAGCAGCCGCAGUAA